GUGAGUCAUCGAAUCUUUGAACGCACAUUGCGCCCGCCAGUAUUCUGGCGGGCAUGCCUGUUCGAGCGUCAUUUCAACCAUCAAGCCCCAGGCUUGUGUUGGAGCCCUGCGGCUGCCGCAGCCUCCCAAAACCAGUGGCGGGCUCGCUAUCACACCGAGUGCAGUAGUUUACUCUUCGCUCAGGGCGUGUGGCGGGUGCUAGCCGUGAAAACCCUACUUCUUAAGGUUGACCUCGGAUCAGGUAGGAAUACCCGCUGAACUUAAGCAUAUCAAUAAGCGGAGGA
Molecule: unclassified non-coding RNA, 284 nt
Filed under: Podospora sp.
Lineage: Eukaryota; Fungi; Ascomycota; Sordariomycetes; Sordariales; Podosporaceae
Description: partial contains 5.8S ribosomal RNA, internal transcribed spacer 2, and large subunit ribosomal RNA
Rfam family: 5.8S ribosomal RNA (bases 1-71)
Source: RNAcentral